RNAcentral lists this unclassified non-coding RNA (1301 nucleotides) under Hevea brasiliensis (rubber tree). The record is from RNAcentral. Lineage: Eukaryota; Viridiplantae; Streptophyta; Magnoliopsida; Malpighiales; Euphorbiaceae.
UUGUAAACACAUUUCCUAAUCAAGGUAUCUUUACAUUCUUCCUUCCCCUAUUUACUAUACUUUCAUGAUGCAUUUCAUUUGGUGUUUAAUUGAUAUGAUUGUAACAUCAACUAUGAAUUUAAUAGUGAUAUUUUACCUGUUUAUCAAAUGUGCUUGAAGAUCUUUAGGAGAAAUGUAAAAAGAUGGUGUGGAAUUCUGAUUCAUGUCAAAUGUUUCAGUGAUUAUGUGCUAAAUAUUCGCUGUAUGGUAACGGUUUAUAUUAUCUUAGUAGACUAUAUGUUACUUACUGUCCAAUUUGAGUUUAUGUAGUGUUAUCCUGUUCUCGUCAUUUGGGAGUUCGCAGUUAUAUCAAGAGAACAAGGGACCAAGGAAACUUGAGUAUAUUAUGCUCCCUCAUUGCUUUGUCAUAUAUGAUACAAAUUGAGAAGAACUAUACGGAGCACUGAUUCAGGAAGAGAAAGUGUUGCCAAACUUUCUUAGCUUUUAAAAUGGUUUGGUGUUGUGAAGGGAUGGCGAGAUGCUAAGCUUGAAGGAAUGAAAAUGUAAAAGUUAGAUCAUGCAUUGGCAGUGCCUGGAAUGUGAAACCUACCCUUGGUAAAGGAGACCUCAGUCAUCUAUGGAGAUGCAGGACACUCCUUUGAUCAUUAUUAGACCAUCAGUGAUUUGUUAUAGAGAAAGAAUAGUUUCUUGUCAAUCAGAAUCUUGCCUAAGUCCUGGGAACCAAAGCCCCUUUUUCUGUUCCAGGGCUAGAAGGGUGCAUUUCAAACUGAGCCAACCUUCUCUGGGGCAAAACAUUUUUGUUAUCAUGCAGCCAUUAGAGAACAGUGCAAAUUACUGAUUGCCUUAGAAUGAAAGGAUGAAACUGUCACAAUUGCUGCUGUUUCCUAGAGUUAUGAAAGCUAUUGCUUACAAUGAUCCAUGCACACUGCAUAACUGUUGGCAUCACAUCUGACUAAGUGAUAGUUUGAUUAUGAGGAUCCUGUUAGAAUCCAAACUGCAGCGGUUCUCCAGGUGAUAAGAUGUGUUGUCUGGUCUCAGAUUCUUGUGAGACUUAGAUACCUAAAAUCUGGACUUGCAACACUCUUGAUAUACUGGACUGGAAUUAUGAGUUUAUAACAUAUCUUGUCCAUAGCAUACCCCAGGGAAAAUGUGAUGAAUUCUUGGAGCAAAAUGCAUCUCUAGAUCUAGCCAUAUAACUUUCCCAAUGUAGUUAUAGUAAAAUAUGUAAGGGAAAUCCGACCAACAUUUAUCCUUAUACUUUGGCAUGCAGUGAAAUUAUUUUGCGUAAUCUAGAAAGCUGA